AUGGUUGUCGACAGCUUUCUCCUUAUCCCCAGCCUCCUGCUCCUGGUGGCGGGGGUGUCUCUGCUCACCACUGCCUGGUGCCGACAGGGUCAUGACCAGCACCGACAGCAGUGGAGAUGGUGGCAGCGAGUGGUAGCACUGAAGCCAGAUGCUGAGAGUCAAGCUGGCAGGCACAGAAGCCCCCUGUGUGGGCCACAUUGCUCCCAGAAACAAGCUUCACGAUGGCAGGGCAGUCUCAUCCUGCCCCAUCUCAUCCAGCCAGGAAAGACCUGGCCUUUGUUGCUGCGCAGUCUAUGCCCCUCUCUUCACACGGACUCUGCCACUGGUACCACGAGCUCUGCAGGGAAGCCCAGCAGGCUUCCCAGACAGGACCAGUGCCUGCAAGUUCUGGCAACACGCGGGACCCCCAGGCCACACAGUCAGCGUUCAAGGCUAGGCAGUGGAGUUAAAGACCUGCCACCUGAGAUCUCCAGCUGCGCAAAGCCACCAGUGAAAGGGAUGAUCUUUCAAGAGGGCAUCGUUCAAACAGAGGAGAGAAAACGCUGGUGGAACUACAAGACCAAGAGGCCUUUCUGGCCUGUGCUGCCCCGAGCACUUCCCAAAGUACACAAGAAAGCAGGAGCAGCAGCAAGACCAUCACAAGGACCAGCUUUGAGCCUGGAGAAAAAAGCAGACAGCAGAACUGAAACCUGCCAGCCCUUGAACUCUAGCUUCAGUGACAAAAGAAGCACAGAGAAAUCAGACAGGCUAGCUAUGGAAAGACUGCACCGGCAGCUCCUGGUGGCCCUAAAACGGCCCAAGACUAGGAACGAUUGCUAUGAGUCAGGCAGUGGAACUGAAAAGCAACCUCCUGUAACCUCUUUCUGCACACAGCCACCAGUGAAAGGUAUGAUCAUGCAUGAGAACAGCCUUCCAACAGAGGAGGGGAAAUGCUGGUGGAACAGGAAGGACAAGAGGCCUUCUGAGUUCUGUAUAGCCUCCCCAGCACUUCCCAGAGUCCACAGGGAAGCUGGAACAGCUGCGGGACCAACAGGACCAGCUGCACGCCUGGAGAAAAGCAAUGCCAAGAGGCUUUUUGAGUAUUAUGCAGACUACCCAGCAGUUCCCAGAGUCCACAAGAAAGCUGGAGCAGCUGCAGGACCAACACCAGGACCAGCUUCAAGCCUGGACAAAAGCAAGGCCA
This 1183-nucleotide long non-coding RNA is filed under the name Numida meleagris (helmeted guineafowl). RNAcentral's name for it is "lncRNA (ENSNMEG00000008963.1)". The record is from RNAcentral. Lineage: Eukaryota; Metazoa; Chordata; Aves; Galliformes; Numididae.